CAGCCGUAAACAAUGUGCGUUAGGUGUGUCGGUAACCACGCGUUACUGAUGCGCCGAAGAGAAAUCGUGAAACGCACCACCUGGGAAGUACGGUCGCAAGGCUGAAACUUAAAGGAAUUGGCGGGGGAGCACCACAACAGGUGGAGCCUGCGGUUUAAUUGGACUCAACGCCGGAAAUCUCACCGGAUAGGACAGACAUAUGAUAGUCGGGCUGAAGACUCUACUUGAUGAUCUGAGAGGAGGUGCAUGGCGUCAGUGACU
This 261-nucleotide ribosomal RNA is filed under the name uncultured archaeon. RNAcentral describes it as "partial 16S ribosomal RNA". It matches the Rfam family "Archaeal small subunit ribosomal RNA", at positions 748 to 1008 of the family's 1478-position model. The record is from RNAcentral.